Molecule: ribosomal RNA, 467 nt
Filed under: uncultured bacterium
Lineage: Bacteria
Description: bacterial SSU rRNA
Rfam family: Bacterial small subunit ribosomal RNA
Source: RNAcentral
ACUCCUACGGGAGGCAGCAGUGAGGAAUAUUGGACAAUGGGCGAGGGCCUGAUCCAGCCAUGCCGCGUGCAGGAAGAAUGCCCUAUGGGUAGUAAACUGCUUUUAUACGGGAAGAAAAGGGGCACGUGUGCCCUGUUGACGGUACCGUAAGAAUAAGGACCGGCUAACUCCGUGCCAGCAGCCGCGGUAAUACGGAGGGUCCGAGCGUUAUCCGGAAUUAUUGGGCGUAAAGCGCAUGCAGGCGGCCUGUUAAGUCAGAUGUGAAAGCCCGGGGCUUAACCUCGGAAUUGCAUUUGAAACUGGCAGGCUAGAGUCUUGUAGAGGGGGGUAGAAUUUCAGGUGUAGCGGUGAAAUGCGUAGAGAUCUGAAGGAAUACCAGUGGCGAAGGCGGCCCCCUGGACAAAGACUGACGCUCAGAUGCGAAAGCGUGGGGAGCAAACAGGAUUAGAUACCCUGGUAGGAUACCG